AUUGAACGCUGGCGGCAGGCCUAACACAUGCAAGUCGAACGAGUGGCGGACGGGUGAGUAAUGUCUGGGAAACUGCCUGAUGGAGGGGGAUAACUACUGGAACCGGUCGCUAAUCCCGCAUACCAUCAGAUGUGCCCAGGUGGGCUUCGCUAGUUGGUGGGGUAACGGCGCACCAAGGUGACGAUCCCUAGCUGGUCUGAGAGCAUGACCAGCCACACUGGAACUGAGACACGGUCCAGACUCCGACGGGAGGCAGGAGUGGGGAAGAUUGCAAAAUGGGCGCAAGCCUGAUGCAGCCAUGCCGCGUGUAUGAAGAAGGCCUUCGGGUUGUAAAGUACUUUCAGCGGGGAGGCGUUACCCGCAGAAGAAGCACCGGCUAACUCCGUGCCAGCAGCCGCGGUAAUAC
Molecule: ribosomal RNA, 406 nt
Filed under: uncultured bacterium
Lineage: Bacteria
Description: partial 16S ribosomal RNA
Rfam family: Bacterial small subunit ribosomal RNA
Source: RNAcentral